GACGAACGCUGGCGGCGUGCUUAACACAUGCAAGUCGAACGGUAAGGCCCUUCGGGGUACACGAGUGGCGAACGGGUGAGUAACACGUGGGUGAUCUGCCCUGCACUUCGGGAUAAGCCUGGGAAACUGGGUCUAAUACCGGAUAGGACCACUGCCUGCAUGGGUGGUGGUGGAAAGCUUUUGCGGUGUGGGAUGGGCCCGCGGCCUAUCAGCUUGUUGGUGGGGUGAUGGCCUACCAAGGCGCCGACGGGUAGCCGGCCUGAGAGGGUGACCGGCCACACUGGGACUGAGAUACGGCCCAGACUCCUACGGGAGGCAGCAGUGGGGAAUAUUGCACAAUGGGCGCAAGCCUGAUGCAGCGACGCCGCGUGAGGGAUGACGGCCUUCGGGUUGCAAACCUCUUUCAGCACCGACGAAGCGCAAGUGACGGUAGGUGCAGAAGAAGGACCGGCCAACUACGUGCCAGCCGCCGCAGUAA
RNAcentral lists this ribosomal RNA (478 nucleotides) under uncultured bacterium. RNAcentral's name for it is "partial 16S ribosomal RNA". It matches the Rfam family "Bacterial small subunit ribosomal RNA", at positions 28 to 523 of the family's 1533-position model. The record is from RNAcentral.